This 75-nucleotide transfer RNA is filed under the name Sulfitobacter litoralis. RNAcentral describes it as "tRNA-Gly". It matches the Rfam family "tRNA". Rfam says of the family: Transfer RNA (tRNA) molecules are approximately 80 nucleotides in length. The record is from RNAcentral. RNAcentral also lists the same sequence under 1 other name. Lineage: Bacteria; Pseudomonadati; Pseudomonadota; Alphaproteobacteria; Rhodobacterales; Roseobacteraceae.
GCGGGCAUAGCUCAGUGGUAGAGUUCCACCUUGCCAAGGUGACUGUCGUCGGUUCGAUCCCGACUGCCCGCUCCA